AUAAGAUAGAACAAACACAUACCACAGGGAGAAGGGGCCACAUUUGACCUGUGGGAUUAGGAAAGACCAAAAAAAAAAAAAAAAAAGCCGUGAGAGAAGGGGACUUCAGCACUGCGAGGCGGGAGCGGGCUAGUGAAGGGAAGAAGUGGGCUGGCUCCUGACGCACUUUCUGCUGGUGGGAGGGAAACCAGGGACCCGAGCCCACUGGUGACGUUUCCUUCACGUGAUCAGAAGCCGACGUGUGCAGAAGUCCCUCUCCUCCAGGUACCAGCUCCCCAUUUCCGUGGAGAAAGAUUUCAGACUGAGGGACAGAGCGGCAACUGCCCUAGAGCCCUGCAGGUCUUCAGGUCUGUGGUUGUAGGCACCAACCCAGACAAGAGAGGAAAAGACCUGCAGGACCAGUGCAGGUCAGUGGGAGAAAGUAACUGUCCUGGAACCCCUGGGAGUAAGAAUGACUUAAGCUUGAGCAGAAGUUGAGGAGGCCACUACCUGCCAACCCUCCUCCAGGCCACCCUACUGCAGUCUCAGAAUACGUGGCCUCAGUCAGGACUCUCAGGGAAGAAACACGGUGCUUUAUGGCUGUUGAGGACCGAGGGGAGAACAAGGAAGUGAGAGACAGGAAGCCUGGCCUCUGUGAAACCCCUUGAAGGUAUUAGAGUAGCCCUGAAAUCUGAGAAGUGGCCAUUAUUCUAUUGUGUCUGCGGUUCUAGAAGUCUUAAAACUGCAGACAAGGGAAAAAAGCAACUGGCCAGGAUUCCUACAGGUCAGUGUAAGUCGGGACUAUGCACUUAAAAUUGUCACAGGCAUAGCUAACGCCAGAGCAAAGUUUAGGGACAAAGCUGCUCUUACACACUUCUCAGCACACCCCACUUAAAUAGAGAAAGAAGCACCUGUGGGAGUUUGUGUAAGGGUGUUAUCAUGUAAACAUGUGUGAAGUGGGAAGGAAAGGAAAAAAUGUCUGGGUGGGAGUGCACCUGUAAUUCGGGAUGGGGUGAGGAAAAUCCUAAAUCAUAAAAGGUAAUUAUUUUCAAGCUCUGUUUUCCCCAAUCUGAGUCCUCCUUUUUAUUUCCUAGGACAGGC
Molecule: long non-coding RNA, 1080 nt
Filed under: Ailuropoda melanoleuca (giant panda)
Lineage: Eukaryota; Metazoa; Chordata; Mammalia; Carnivora; Ursidae
Description: lncRNA (ENSAMEG00000028064.1)
Source: RNAcentral